Molecule: ribosomal RNA, 253 nt
Filed under: uncultured bacterium
Lineage: Bacteria
Description: partial 16S ribosomal RNA
Rfam family: Bacterial small subunit ribosomal RNA
Source: RNAcentral
UACAAAAAGUGCAAACGUUACUCGGAAUUAUUGGACGUAAAGCGCACGUAGACGAUCUGUUAUGUCGAAUGUGAAAACCCUUAACUUAACUGAGGAAGUGCAUCCGAAACUAACAAACUAGAGUACUAAAGAAAAUCGCGGAAUUCCCAAUGUAAAGGUGAAAUUCGUAGAUAUCAAAAAGAACACCAAUAACAAAGACAACGACCUGGGUAGAUACUGACACUGAGAUGCGAAAGCGUAAAAAGCAAACAGG